UAAUUCAAGCCCACCCAAAUAUCAAAUCAAAUAUCACAGACACUUAAUCUAAAUCAUUUUACCCGUCUAAGUAUAGGCGAUAGAAAAGACUUAUCUAGGCGCAAUAACGCAAGUACCGUAAGGGAAACAUGAAAGACCAAUUCCAAGCACUAAAAAGCAAAGAUUAGACCUUCUACCUUUUGCAUAAUGGUUUAGCCAGUCAAAUCGGACAAAAAGAAUUAUGCCCGCCUUCCCGAAAUCAAGUGAGCUACUAUAAAACAGUCAACAGAACCAACUCGUCUAUGUAGCAAAAUAGUGAGAAGAUUUUAUAGUAGAGGUGAAAAGCCUACCGAACUUGAUGAUAGCUGGUUGUCCAAAAUACGAAUUUUAGUUCAACUUUAAAUUUAAUUAAAUUAUCAAUAGACUUAACUUAAAUUUAAAAGCUAAUCAAAAGGGGGUCAGCUCUUUUGAUCAUGUAAACAAACUUUAUUAGAGGAUAAUGAAUACUAAAAACCAUUGUAGGCCUAAAAGCAGCCACCAAUUAAGAAAGCGUUAAAGCUCAAAUACACCAGUAAACCUUAAUCCCAAAAAUAACAUCAAACUCCCUAACAUAAACUAUUGGACGAUUCUAUAAUUUUAUAGAAGACAUAAUGCUAAAAUGAGUAACAAGAAUUAUUUCUCCUAGCACAAGCCUAAAUUAGCAACGGAACACCCACUAACAAUUAACAAACUAAUAAUCUUAACCAAAUAACUAGCAAAAUUUUUACAACCAUUGUUAACCCAACACAGGAGUGCUAACAGGAAAGAUUAAAAGGAAUAAAAGGAACUCGGCAAA
This 814-nucleotide ribosomal RNA is filed under the name Notamacropus eugenii (tammar wallaby). RNAcentral's name for it is "partial 16S ribosomal RNA". The stretch from base 145 to 637 matches the Rfam family "Bacterial large subunit ribosomal RNA", at positions 573 to 1301 of the family's 2925-position model. Lineage: Eukaryota; Metazoa; Chordata; Mammalia; Diprotodontia; Macropodidae. The record is from RNAcentral.